AGGGCACCACCAGGAGUGGAGCCUGCGGCUUAAUUUGACUCAACACGGGAAAACUCACCCGGCCCGGACACUGGAAGGAUUGACAGAUUGAGAGCUCUUUCUUGAUUCAGUGGGUGGUGGUGCAUGGCCGUUCUUAGUUGGUGGAGUGAUUUGUCUGGUUAAUUCCGAUAACGAACGAGACUCUAGCCUACUAAAUAGAUCGUCGGCUUACAAACGCCGGCGAGACUUCUUAGAGGGACAGGCGGUGAUUCAACCGCACGAAACAGAGCAAUAACAGGUCUGUGAUGCCCUUAGAUGUCCGGGGCCGCACGCGCGCUACACUGAAGUGAUCAGCGUGCUUUUUCAACCUACUCUGUCAAGAGUGGGGAACCCAAUGAACCUUCUUCGUGAUUGGGAUAGGGGAUUGUAAUUAUUCCCCUUGAACGAGGAAUUCCCAGUAAGCGCGAGUCAUAAGCUCGCGUUGAUUACGUCCCUGUCCUUUGUACACACCGCCCGUCGCUACUACCGAUUGAAUGUUUU
RNAcentral lists this ribosomal RNA (519 nucleotides) under uncultured eukaryote. RNAcentral's name for it is "SSU rRNA". It matches the Rfam family "Eukaryotic small subunit ribosomal RNA", at positions 1161 to 1699 of the family's 1831-position model. The record is from RNAcentral.